CCAUCAGGCUUUGCUUGGUGGUGAGAGUGGCGAACGGGUGAGUAAUGCGUGACCGACCUGCCCCAUACACCGGAAUAGCUCCUGGAAACGGGUGGUAAUGCCGGAUGCUCCGGCCUGCCGCAUGGUGGGCUGGGAAAGAUUGUAUCGGUAUGGGAUGGGGUCGCGUCCUAUCAGGUAGUCGGCGGGGUAACGGCCCACCGAGCCUACGACGGGUAGCCGGCCUGAGAGGGCGACCGGCCACAUUGGGACUGAGAUACGGCCCAGACUCCUACGGGAGGCAGCAGUGGGGAAUAUUGCACAAUGGGCGCAAGCCUGAUGCAGCGACGCCGCGUGCGGGAUGACGGCCUCGGGUUGUAAACCGCUUUUGAUCGGGAGCAAGCCUUCGGGUGAGUGUACCUUUCGAAUAAGCACCGGCUAACUACGUGCCAGCAGCCGCGGUAAUACGUAGGGUGCAAGCGUUAUCCGGAAUUAUUGGGCGUAAAGGGCUCGUAGGCGGUUCGUCGCGUCCGGUGUGAAAGUCCAUCGCUUAACGGUGGAUCUGCGCCGGGUACGGGCGGGCUGGAGUGCGGUAGGGGAGACUGGAAUUCCCGGUGUAACGGUGGAAUGUGUAGAUAUCGGGAAGAACACCAAUGGCGAAGGCAGGUCUCUGGGCCGUUACUGACGCUGAGGAGCGAAAGCGUGGGGAGCGAACAGGAUUAGAUACCCUGGUAGUCCACGCCGUAAACGGUGGAUGCUGGAUGUGGGGCCCGUUCCACGGGUUCCGUGUCGGAGCUAACGCGUUAAGCAUCCCGCCUGGGGAGUACGGCCGCAAGGCUAAAACUCAAAGAAAUUGACGGGGGCCCGCACAAGCGGCGGAUCAUGCGGAUUAAUUCGAUGCAACGCGAAGAACCUUACCUGGGCUUGACAUGUUCCCGACCGCUCCAGAGAUGGGGCUUCCCUUCGGGGCGGGUUCACGGGAGGAGCAUGGACGUCGUCAGCUCGUGUCGUGAGAUGUUGGGUUAAGUCCCGCAACGAGCGCAACCCUCGCCCUGUGUUGCCAGCACGUCAUGGUGGGAACUCACGGGGGACCGCCGGGGUCAACUCGGAGGAAGGUGGGGAUGACGUCAGAUCAUCAUGCCCCUUACGUCCAGGGCUUCACGCAUGCUACAAUGGCCGGUACAACGGGAUGCGACACGGCGACGUGGAGCGGAUCCCUGAAAACCGGUCUCAGUUCGGAUUGGAGUCUGCAACCCGACUCCAUGAAGGCGGAGUCGCUAGUAAUCGCGGAUCAGCAACGCCGCGGNGAAUGCGUUCCCGGGCCUUGUACACACCGCCCGUCAAGUCAUGAAAGUGGGUAGCACCCGAAGCCG
RNAcentral lists this ribosomal RNA (1349 nucleotides) under Bifidobacterium pseudocatenulatum. RNAcentral describes it as "bacterial SSU rRNA". It matches the Rfam family "Bacterial small subunit ribosomal RNA", at positions 70 to 1429 of the family's 1533-position model. Lineage: Bacteria; Bacillati; Actinomycetota; Actinomycetes; Bifidobacteriales; Bifidobacteriaceae. The record is from RNAcentral. RNAcentral also lists the same sequence under 1 other name.